Non-coding RNA from Neolamprologus brichardi, 338 nucleotides. The record is from RefSeq and is a predicted model, not a curated record. Lineage: Eukaryota; Metazoa; Chordata; Actinopteri; Cichliformes; Cichlidae.
AAGAAAUUGAAUUUGUGUUCAAUCUUGUCUCCAGUGAACUGAUUAGAUGUUUUCUAUUUUCUUCCAUCUUUGGGUAAAAACCUGGUUUCAAAACAGAAGGAGAAAGUUUAGGAGGAGGUCACAUCCUCAGCAUCUCAAUCAGGGUGUCCCAUUUCAUUUUCAGGGAGAGGGACAGCCCCCACUCAAGCAGCAGUAAACCCAGCAUUAGAGGUCAUCAGGUCUUUAAGACAUUCCUGCAGUUUAACUCAUUGGUGUGUGCUUGAUGUUUGUUGUGUAUUUGCUGCUAUGACAACUAAUCUUUCCUCUGGGAAUAAUAAAGUCUCUGUGAUGCGCUCUUA